Danio rerio (zebrafish) is the source of this 46-nucleotide non-coding RNA. The record is from Rfam. NCBI's taxonomy places the organism in Eukaryota, Metazoa, Chordata, Actinopteri, Cypriniformes, Danionidae.
CCAAAGGCUCUUUUAAGAGCCACCCACUCUAUCUAAGAAAGGGCUG